This is a long non-coding RNA of Cydia splendana, 589 nucleotides long. RefSeq lists it as uncharacterized. Lineage: Eukaryota; Metazoa; Arthropoda; Insecta; Lepidoptera; Tortricidae. The record is from RefSeq and is a predicted model, not a curated record. The transcript has 2 exons.
UUUAUGUAAGAAAUACUUUUUGUAUAUAAUUUAGAGAAAAGGUAUACAAUUGUGCAAAGCUGUAUAGCCUUAUCUAUUGUAACGAGUAUGAGCUGUGAUUGUGGCUAUGCGCCAACUAGUUGUUUGUACAUUUUUGCUUUCGUUAAUGGCAUGCUCAGGGCAUGUCCAAGAAACGUCUAGAAGAAACAAAAACACGGAUGGAAACUUAAAGAAAUUACAAUCAUAUCAACUCAUUACCGGUCCUAAGCUUAUUUCGCGUACAUUUACAACACGUUCACUCUAUACUUUUAACAAAAGUAAUCUGAUUUCCCACAAGGUUAGUAGCACACGCAAUUUUUCUACUCUCAAAACUCGAACGCUCGAGUAUCCCGUUCUAUUUAAUUCUCGGACACUCAACCUUCAUAAGCUCAAUAAUCAUACUACCCAUUCCCCAACACUCAGGAAUCGGACACUCAAUUCUUCAACACUUAACACUCGAACACUCAAUUAUAAUAUGGUCAAUCCUUAUAUACCUGAAACGCUCAACUCUGCUAAGCUUGAAAAUAAAAAUCGCGACAAUUUAGUUUACGAUAAAAUUCUUCAAGAAUGG